UGCCGAGAACGGAUGACGUCUCUAUCGGGCCCGAUUGCACUACGACCGUCGAUACGACCGAUACUACUAGCACACACACCGCCAGCGAUACCGUCGAUCAGCGUUUACCCGUGUACGUAUGAGAAGCGAUUGUGGCGUUAGAUGAAACAGCGCUACUGACACGAGAUAACUUGUUGUCCUUUGGUAUUGUAACCCUCCCCACCAUCCGUUCGUUUGUGUCGCGGACAGGCUGAAUGAUGUGCGGACGUACCCUCCAAGUGCGACGGAACAUAAAUCCUUCCGCAGCAGGGCGACGGCAGUAGUGCGACAUUAAAUAUGGCCGCUGAACCUAAGCACAUGCCAACAGGGAAACGGGAAAGGAGGAAGGAAGGAAAGGAGCACGGACACCCAAAAACCCCAUCUCAAGCACGUGAUAAUGAAGAGAAACAAGUGACACGAUGUCGAGCGAAUUACAUUACCAACCAUCCAGAGCCAAUGGUUGCGAAUUCGCUGGCAUUUACCCCAUUUUUUUCUCGUCCUGCUCCAUUUGGAACCGGCCACCAACAUUAUGCGCUGUAUUCUGACGAUCUGUAGAGGUGUGUGUGUGUGGGUUGAGGAGGGGGGAGGGGUAGGUAUAUGUUCGGUGAGUUUUUUUUUCUGCGUGUUUGUUAUUACUACCAACUGCCGUCUGUUUUGCUUGUUAUCUUGUCCUGACUGACGAGGGGCCGGACCACAAUUUCUCAUGUUCCAACGCGUGGUCAUGUUUUAUGCUUAAGUUUGACGCUUUCGCCCGCAAUACAAGCAACAAAAAAACCGUUGGGAGGCAAAUACUCUCUCUCGGCUAAGCAAAGCAUGGAGUGUGUUGUUGUAGCCGCAACCAGCUGGAUGAACUGUUUUCCUUCAUCUUCCACGCCGUACAGUUGUUUGCUUUGUGCACCGUCGUUUGCACCGGAUGCAAAUAGAAGAGAAAGAAAAACCGCCCGCCAACGCACAGGACGAUGAUUUAUGCUGCUUCAAACAACGGCAAAGGAUCGCCAUGGUUGAUGGGACGAUUUGUCUGAAGAGGACCGCCCAAAAGUAGUGGAUGCGGAAUGAAGCCAACAUACGCACGUCCUCUCGAAUGGGCAGCUGGGAAAUGCUAACAAGUGUUACGGAAUUAUGGCCGAGGUUCGUCACCCGUACUGCAAGCUCGCUCACUCAACAAAGUAUUCCACAAAACACACCCACACACACACACACACAUACAAAUCCAACCCUUCGUUUUUGCUCCGAAGGAGAAGGCGAGGGACCGUAAAUGAAUCCAAAAAGUGAACAAUCAACUGGUUGUGGAGGGAGACGAAAGUAACAACACACUGUAGUAGAACGUUGCCCUUCUCUCGGGAGCGAAUCAGGUUCCGGGACACCAGCUGCAGCAUCGCGCAACGGCGGGAAAAACGAGAAAACUUUCCCAUCAACGCACACAGGCAUCAUUGGAGCUACACAGGAAGAAAACAUAAUGCAUUCAAUGCGAAAAUUAUGACGAACUUCAAUUCAGUUAGCGAAACCAUCGCUCCGAAAGUCGCUCAGUGCCGUGCAGGUGGGCGAUGAAGAUUUACCGCCUAUCAAUCUGGGGUUUCGCCGUUGUCGUCGGUGUCAUCCAGCGCAGAGAAAACGUCAAUAUCGUGCGUUACUGAGAAGACGAUAAAUCGCUGUCGAGGCAAUUCUAUCCAUCACCCGAAGAACGAAACGAAAGGCAAUUCAUUUCCGUGCGAGCAAAUGUGAUCUAUUUCGGAAAAAGUGUGUGUGUGUUGCAAGUUGUUGUCAAACUGGAGGAGACAUUAACUCUUGUGUCUUGUGUCCAUUUCGGAAGCUGUUGUAAUGACGUUGCUAGGAGAGAGAGAGAGAGAGAUAGAUAGAGAGAUAAAAAAUGGAAGCAAAUACGCACGGAAAACAUUGUCCAAAUAAAGCAAAUCAGCAAUGUUUUUGACCGUUUUUUUUUAAAUGUGGUCAGGUUACACAGUAGAAAGUACUAAAAAAUUCCUUACCAAUACCACCAAAAUCACAUGAGGUAGAAUUGCAUCCUUACAACCCGUACAGGACAUCGGACGGUGACAUCGUAGCACCGUUCCAAUACACAAGUCCUUGCGAAACCCGGCAUGGCGUGGGUAGUGCGUGUAAGGGAAAAAAACACUGUAAUACUGCCGGUUCCCUAUUCGUUCGCUAUUAAUAGCGGCAGCUCAGAACGCAUCUGCAAGGGAUGGUGGCCUACGAUGCAGCCCAGGCAGCGCAUUCGCACAGCCCUGAUGAUAGAGCUGAUGAUGAGAUGAUGAAAACCAAACAGGAAGCACUAUGGCAUAUAGUAAAUGGAAGAAGAAAAAAACCCCGAGUCAUCCAUACACACACCCAUACACCUUCCUUCACGACUGGCAAUAUUGAUUGCGAACGCUACUGGAAACACGUCAUAAGCACGAGCUCGGGUUUGGCUUAUUUUUUUUUGUUAUCAUUUCCAACUACCCACGGUCGGUAAAGUUUUGAUUUCAUUUCAGCCACCUCUAUCUGGCCCGAUCGCUUGUGGACAUUUAUUAAUGUUGUAGUAUGGCACGAAAAAACUGCGCCUGUCCAUGCACCUGUUGUGUCGGAAAGAUAUUGCGUUCAUAUUGUUUUUUUUUUGCUAUCGAAAAAAAAGCCAACACGGUUGCAGUGUUUGUCGCUUGUCAAUUAUUUCAAUUACAAACCAAAAAAAAUAAGCAAAGCGUCCCACACCCUCUACCCUGCGACCGAGACAAGCAAAUCGUGCAAAGCUGUUGUAAACAGACAAGAAAAAUGAUAACGAAAAGCUAAACAUGGAAGUAGGUUUAUUAACACAAAAACCUAACCACCUUCACUAUGGUGUAAGUUCUGAGACAUAUAAUGUAAAAGAAAUGUUCUAAAUAGUAAACACAAGCUAGCAAAACAAAGCAAAACAAAAAAGGUGUACUAAAAUAAUCAAAAUCAUGCCCCCAGAAACAAAUGUGUUUUAGUGUGAUUGUUAAUAGGAUAAUGAAAAAGCAAAAAAAAAAGAAACAGAUAAAAAUCAGAUACAAAGACGUUAGGAAUGAAAUUAAAGAAAAAACGGAAAACAAAACAGCUAAAAUCCGAUAGCGCACACGUUACAUAUACAAUCGUUCAUGUGUUUAGGAAAAAAAAACUAUUUAAGAAACAUCUAAGAUGUAUGAUGAGAGACAACAAAACAAACGAGAAACGAAGGUGUAAGAUGUAAACUAAAAUUAUUGAUAGACUAAUAUAAAAUAUCCGAAGCUAAAACUCAAGUAAACAAAACGAUUAAACGAGGCAAAGAAACAAUCCUCAAACAGCAAACAAACACACAGCAGAAUGUGUUUUCUACUAGAGCUAAUUAGCUAAAUGGUGAAUGUUUACUUCGACUGUAUAACAGUUCCAAACACGGUAUGAAAAACAAAACAACUCUAUAUACUCUUAUUACCAUUCAGCAUGUCGAUGUGUGAUAUAUGGAUCACUUAAAACACACAUACACAAAACAAAUAAACCAUGAAAAGAAACAAACAGAACAGGAAAACACAAAUUGAAAAUCAGUAUUAAAUCGCUAAACAACAUUAAAACAAAAAACAAAAAAAGAAUGACAUGAGGAGAAAGUAAACAAGUAUAACAGAGCUGAGAACAGAACAGUGUUCAUAUUAUGUUUAUGUGUGUGUUUUUUUAGCUUAUGUUCUUUAUUUAUUUUACUUUUAUAAUUGUGUAAAGUAAUUACUUUUUUAGCUACCACACUUACCAUGCCUCGCAUACGUGUUUGAAAUUUCAGUUUUAUACAAAUUAAAUUCCACAUUACCUUCUGUCUUUUUGUGCUUCCCUUUGGAACCAGUUGGAAGCCUGCCAGUCUCAUGCUUCUAUCGUUCGCCCCAAAAGACACUCGCUUUCCGAACGAUCUUUGGCUUUUCGGAACCGACACGACCAUAAAGGUGUCUUGAUUUUGUGUGUGUGUGUUUUGUAAAGAAUUUGAACAAAAACAAACAAAAACAAAUUAAAAUUGCAAAAGGUUUUUAAAAUUUUCUAUCACUUUCCCACUUUCCAUUUGGAGCAUCCCCCCUACAGCCCCAAGGGGGAACGCGUGAGUACGUACAGCGAUUCAAGUGAUUGAUGCUGGAAAACAUUGGCAGCCAGAGAAAAUGGACCAUUUGCUGGUGCUCAUUUCUAUCCGCGAAUUGGCCAAGGGGAAAACCGGAGCCACCGUGAUUUUCUACCAUUUUCCCCUUCCCAUCGCUGUUGCCUUUCCUGCGGUGUGUGUGUGUGUGUGCUCGUGUGCUCACAAGGAGCAAUUAUUGAGUUCCCGUGGAAAUGCUUGCGCUUCUGCAAGUAUGUACCCUGGAGCUGUUAUUAUUAUUAUUAAUACUAUCGCACAACAACAUCAUCACGUUCGAUGUUGCUGCUGAUUGUUCACCAUCCAAAAAAAGAAACAGAAGAAAGGGAAUGUUGCUCUCUCUCUCUCUUACCAGAACCUUUUACCACCUUUGCUUCUCGCUGAGCGGGGGGUUUUGUUUGCCGGGGAAAUCCGAAGUGGAAAGCAGCGGACCGAAGUAUGCUUUCCGCGAGGCACGCUGCUUGUAUGCCACCGGUAAAAGAAGAGUUGGUAAAGUUUCAAAAUUCCACGAUCCAACAAAACAAACCCGUGUCACACAAAGCACACAACCGUUGCGCACGUGGCCCGCACGUGGUGCCAAGCAGCAAGUGAAAUAGGGAACACGUUUAGUGCAGCAGCUAGUGGCCCGCUGGCGACAGAAAACAACCAAAACAAAAGCUAGCCCGGGACGGGGUGGGAAAGUCAUAUAAAAUUUUUAAAAAUAACCUCAAAGUGCGGACGCAUACAAGCUUUUGGCUGGGAAGGAUGUGCUUUCUGCUUCCUCCAACGGUAAGCCACCCGUUUUGUAUGGAGCCUGACUAUGGUUUUUGUACUCUAGUGUUUAAUUUAGCAGAAUUUAUUUUGUGUGCCAUCUUGAACCUCAAACUCGUUGAGCGGAACAGACUGUAAUGACUUGGAACGGUUGGAAGCCAGCAAGAUGCAAAAAAAGUAAAAUAACAACAACCAAAGUUGUAUAGCGAGCGAAACACUUUCCCAAAACCUAAUUUAAAGAGAUAAAUUAAGAAAGAACAUUUACACGAUGAACACACCGAUUUAAAAGCCAAUUGAAAAUGCUAAAGUACAUACUAAACAAUAGAACUAUGACUUGUACGUGUCGCUAAGUACAUUUGUGGAGUGUUUUUUUUUGCGUUGCUAGUUUUCAUACGUACAGCAUAAAACAUAAAACCAUCCUUUUUCGAAUAUGUGUAUGUGUGUGUGUGAGAGGGCAUGGUUCUUUUUUAAGGACAAGUUUGUUUUAUUAAUGCAAAACCUAUCCGCGCUUGCAGAUAGGAAAUAGAAUUAUACAUGGAUAUUUAUAGCAAAUCGAAACCAAACUGUUAUACAAUCACCCACAACGGUUUGCUUUACAGGUGGGAAAAAUGAUAAAAUCAAUCGACAUGUUUUAAAACUAUCUACUAAAUAAUACUUAACACUCUUUCGCGCUCUCUCGUCUAUCCCCUUUUCAUGAUCCGAUUUUUUUUUCAAUCCUGCAGCUAUGUGGAUAUUGCCUACGCUGGGAAAUACAAACAGAAAAAAUAAUUGAAACAAAUAAGAAAAAAAAACUCAAUCCUUUACAUAAACGAACGUAAACAUUUCCAGCGUUGCGGAUAAAGAAAACAUAUUUUAGCUGCGUGCUAUUUCAUUUUAGACGAAGACAGAACAAAAGAAAACAUGAAAACAAACAUAAAAAAGGAUGUUAGCAGUUAAAUACAUAACCCUCUUACUCUAUAUUCGCCGUAUAAAGGAAUAGUUUAUGGAUCACUGUUACAAAAACCCCAGAACAGAACAGAAAAUAAAACAAAUGAUAUAAAAUCGAAACUAA
Long non-coding RNA from Anopheles funestus (African malaria mosquito), 5912 nucleotides. RefSeq lists it as uncharacterized. The transcript is spliced from 4 exons. The record is from RefSeq and is a predicted model, not a curated record. Lineage: Eukaryota; Metazoa; Arthropoda; Insecta; Diptera; Culicidae.